UGGAUAUGACGCCAUGCUAAAAUUAUAAUGAUACAGAGAAGAUUAGCAUGUCUCCUGCACAAAGAUGACACACAGAUUCAUUAAGCAUUCCAUAUUUUU
RNAcentral lists this small nuclear RNA (99 nucleotides) under Prolemur simus (greater bamboo lemur). Lineage: Eukaryota; Metazoa; Chordata; Mammalia; Primates; Lemuridae. The record is from RNAcentral.